Molecule: long non-coding RNA, 226 nt
Filed under: Mytilus galloprovincialis (Mediterranean mussel)
Lineage: Eukaryota; Metazoa; Mollusca; Bivalvia; Mytilida; Mytilidae
Source: RNAcentral
CUUGUUUCCAUUGGGUGUACAGGAGUGACGACCUGUAUACUACAUGUCAGAAAAAUGCAUUAUUAUGUUUGAUCAAAACCUGCUUACAAGGUAGAAAUAUAACCACUGAUAAUCUGAUAAUCUGUUUAAAUUCUUGAUAGUGUUUUCGAAAACCUUCCAGACAGUAUAGUGUAGUUUGUUAGAAUCCUAAACGGGCUAAUGAUCAUUAUUGCCCCCCCCUUUUUUU